GAGUUUGAUCAUGGCUCAGGAUGAACGCUGGCGGCGUGCCUAAUACAUGCAAGUCGAACGGAGAUUCCGUCGUAAUUCGUUACAGCGGAAAUCUUAGUGGCGAACGGGUGAGUAACGCGUUGGUGACCUGCCCCGGAGAGGGGGAUAACAGCUUGAAAGGGCUGCUAAUACCCCAUGAUGUCUAAAGGGUUAGAAACCUCUAGACGAAAGGCUUCGGUUGCUUCGGGAGGGGCCUGCGUCCCAUCAGCUAGUUGGUAGGGUAAUGGCCUACCAAGGCGAAGACGGGUAGGGGACCUGAGAGGGUGACCCCCCACAAUGGAACCGAAACACGGUCCAUACACCUACGGGUGGCAGCAGUAGGGAAUAUUGCACAAUGGGCGAAAGCCUGAUGCAGCAACGCCGCGUGCGCGAAGAAGGCCUUCGGGUUGUAAAGCGCUUUUCGGGGAGAAGAGAAAGGACGGUAUCCCCGGAAUAAGGAUCGGCUAACUACGUGCCAGCAGCCGCGGUAAUACG
RNAcentral lists this ribosomal RNA (513 nucleotides) under uncultured Chloroflexota bacterium. RNAcentral describes it as "bacterial SSU rRNA". It matches the Rfam family "Bacterial small subunit ribosomal RNA", at positions 9 to 527 of the family's 1533-position model. Lineage: Bacteria; Bacillati; Chloroflexota. The record is from RNAcentral.